UCGAUCGCGACCCCAGGUCAGGCGGGACUAC
This 31-nucleotide ribosomal RNA is filed under the name Bidens parviflora. Its description in RNAcentral is "partial 26S ribosomal RNA". The record is from RNAcentral. Lineage: Eukaryota; Viridiplantae; Streptophyta; Magnoliopsida; Asterales; Asteraceae.